Molecule: ribosomal RNA, 253 nt
Filed under: uncultured bacterium
Lineage: Bacteria
Description: partial 16S ribosomal RNA
Rfam family: Bacterial small subunit ribosomal RNA
Source: RNAcentral
GACGGAGGGUGCAAGCGUUGUUCGGAUUCACUGGGCGUAAAGGGUGCGUAGGCGGUCGGAUAAGUCUGAUGUGAAAUCUUCGAGCUCAACUCGGAAACUGCAUCGGAAACUAUUCGGCUGGAGGAUUGGAGGGGAGACUGGAAUUCUCGGUGUAGCAGUGAAAUGCGUAGAUAUCGAGAGGAACACCAGUGGCGAAGGCGAGUCUCUGGACAAUUCCUGACGCUGAGGCACGAAAGCUAGGGGAGCAAACAGG